RNAcentral lists this ribosomal RNA (494 nucleotides) under uncultured bacterium. RNAcentral describes it as "partial 16S ribosomal RNA". It matches the Rfam family "Bacterial small subunit ribosomal RNA", at positions 28 to 507 of the family's 1533-position model. The record is from RNAcentral.
GACGAACGCUGGCGGCGCGCUUAACACAUGCAAGUCGAACGGAAAGGCCUGCUUUCCCUUGUGGAUUGCGGGUACUCGAGUGGCGAACGGGUGAGUAACACGUGAGUGAUCUGCCCCCAACUUGGGUAUAAGCCUGGGAAACUGGGUCUAAUUCCCGAUAGGACUGCAGGGUGGUGCCUGUGGUGGAAAACGAUUUUCUAGUGGUUGGGGAUGAGCUCGCGGCCUAUCAGCUUGUUGGUGGGGUAAUGGCCUACCAAGGCGGCGACGGGUAGCCGGCCUGAGAGGGUGGACGGCCACAUUGGGACUGAGAUACGGCCCAGACUCCUACGGGAGGCAGCAGUGGGGAAUAGUGCACAAUGGGCGGAAGCCUGAUGCAGCGACGCCGCGUGGGGGAUGACGGCCUUCGGGUGGUAAACUCCUUUCGACCGCGAGGAAGCCACCUGGUUGGAAGGGUGGUGACGGUAGUGGUAGAAGAAGCACCGGCUAACUACGUG